CCCGCCGGCGACCGGCGCACGGGUGAGUAACACGUAUGAAACCUGCCCGUAGCAGGGGGGUAAGCGGAAGAAAUUCCGUCUAAUACCGCGUAACAACCCAUGGAGGCAUCUCUGUGGGUUUAAAGGAAGCGAUUCCGGCUACGGAUGGUCAUGCGUCGCAUUAGCUUGUUGGCGGGGUAACGGCCCACCAAGGCGACGAUGCGUAGGGGUUCUGAGAGGAAGGUCCCCCACACUGGUACUGAGACACGGACCAGACUCCUACGGGAGGCAGCAG
RNAcentral lists this ribosomal RNA (274 nucleotides) under uncultured bacterium. RNAcentral describes it as "partial 16S ribosomal RNA". It matches the Rfam family "Bacterial small subunit ribosomal RNA", at positions 84 to 354 of the family's 1533-position model. The record is from RNAcentral.